This 2034-nucleotide ribosomal RNA is filed under the name Triticum aestivum (bread wheat). RNAcentral describes it as "partial small subunit ribosomal RNA". The record is from RNAcentral. Lineage: Eukaryota; Viridiplantae; Streptophyta; Magnoliopsida; Poales; Poaceae.
AUGUUGGAUGUAAGACAACUAAUCAACAAACUCAAGGAAACUCUCGAAAACACGAGGUACCUCAUUGUAAUUGAUGAUAUAAGGGAUGAAAAACUAUGGAAAAUAAUCAAAGGGGCAUUCUCUAAUAGCAACAAUUGUGGUAGUCGGUUAAUCAUGACAACUCGUAUAGUCAGUGUAGCUAAAUUAUGUUGCUCAUGUGCUGACGAUUCAAUCUAUCAAAUGGAGCCACUUAGUGAUGAUGAUUCCAAAAGGCUCUUCUAUAAAAGGAUAUUUUCUCACGAGAGUGGUUGUCCUCUUGAAUUUGAAGAAGUGUCCAUAGAUAUAUUGAAGAAAUGUGGUGGAGUACCAUUAGCCAUCAUUAUUAUAGCUGGUAUCUUGGUUAUUAAUCAUCACCCAAAACCGAAGGAUGAGUGGCAUGUUUUGCUAGAUUCCAUUGGUCAUGGACUUACCAAAGACCCCAGUGUAGAGGAGAUGUUGAGGAUACUAACGCUUAGCUAUUAUAACCUGCCUUCUCAUUUGAAGACAUGUUUGCUAUACCUAAGCAUGUUUCCGGAAUAUCACUAUAUUACGAAAGAUCAAUUGAUAUGGAUGUGGAUUGCUGAAAGUUUUAUCCAGUUUGAAGAUCCACAAACUAGUCUAUUUGAGAUCGGAGAAAAUUACUUCAAUGAGCUUGUGAAUAGAAGCUUAAUCCAGCCGGAAUAUUUUGAUGGGUUUGUAAUUGCUUGUCAUGUACACAAUAGUGUUCUUGAUUUAAUUUGCUCAUUGUCAACUGAAGAGAACUUUACUACUAUAUUGAAUGAUACUUGGGAUAGCAUUUCUUCUAAAAGAAAGGUCCGUAGGCUGUCCCUCCAAAAUAAUAUCAAGGAAGAACAUCAAAAUACACAUCUCAAAUCUGCAAGGUCUAUUGCUACAUUUGAUGAUGUUGAUAUUGGUUUCAUGCCUCCUUUCUCAAGGUUUCUUUUUUUGCGUGUAUUGGAUUUGACUGAAUGUGAUAUUAGUGAUCAUAACCAUCUUAACCUUUGGGAGUUGUGGAGUUUAGUUCAGCUGAGGUACCUAGGCCUAUACAAAUCAGGAAUUUCUGAGGUCCCAGAAGAAGUUGGAAAGUUGCAGUUUUUGCAGGUGCUGGAUUUGAGAGGGAAUUAUGAUAUAACAGAACUCCCAUCAGCAAUUACUAAGCUCAGAAGAUUGAUGUGCCUACAAAUUGAUUCUUCCUGCAGUCGGAUACCAGAUGGAAUUGGAAACAUGAUAUCAAUGGAAAAUCUCGGUUCUCUCUGUGGUGACUGUCUAGGCACCGUGAAAGAUUUGGGCAACGUGGAAAGACUAAGGCACCUCAAUAUUUGCUUUAAUGUUAUGAGCUUGGAGUUGGAGCAAGCUUUCGUGGAGUCAUUAGGGAAAUUACGCAACAUCCAGAGUGUACAUAUUUGGUUCCUUGGUUAUCAUCAUUAUGUAUUCAUGGAUCUCCUGGGGGGAGAUUGGUCGCCCCCUCAAAGUCUUCGUGAAUUUUCUGCAAAGUUCAAGCUCGUCUUCAGCAAACUGCCAACAUGGUUAAGGAGGAACCCCUCGCAUCUGUCACAGCUCUCGAGGUUAGAUAUUUUUGUCGACAAAGUGCGACAGGAGGAUCUGGACUUCCUUGGAAGGUUACCGGCCCUCCGUGACCUCUCCUUGGAGACAAUGCGCCAAGAUCCGUUACUCGUCGGUGCUGACGGUUUCCGUUGCCUGACAAGACUCAAGCUGAUUUGCAAUUGGGCUGGCCGCAUUGUGUUCCAGCCAGAAGCUUUGCCCAAGACUGAACAUGUUGAUAUCUUGAUAUAUUUUCGUGCUGCCAACGGUCGUCAUUGGUUUGAGCUGGGCUUGGAGAACCUGCAGUCCCUUCGGAUGGUCAUAGUCCAAAUCAGAUUGUUGCCGGGAGUGAUAAGCGGCGACACCGGGGCCGAGCAAGGAAAGGCUACUUUGGAAAACGCACUCCAUGCCCAUCCUAAUCGUCCCAAAGUUUACGUCUCCAUUUACGCAGAGCCAUCAGGCUGUCACUACUGA